This 467-nucleotide ribosomal RNA is filed under the name uncultured bacterium. RNAcentral describes it as "partial 16S ribosomal RNA". It matches the Rfam family "Bacterial small subunit ribosomal RNA", at positions 28 to 506 of the family's 1533-position model. The record is from RNAcentral.
GACGAACGCUGGCGGCGUGCUUAACACAUGCAAGUCGAACGGAAAGGCCCUGCUUUUGUGGGGUGCUCGAGUGGCGAACGGGUGAGUAACACGUGAGUAACCUGCCCUUGACUUUGGGAUAACUUCAGGAAACUGGGGCUAAUACCGGAUAGGAGCUCCUGCUGCAUGGUGGGGGUUGGAAAGUUUCGGCGGUUGGGGAUGGACUCGCGGCUUAUCAGCUUGUUGGUGGGGUAGUGGCUUACCAAGGCUUUGACGGGUAGCCGGCCUGAGAGGGUGACCGGCCACAUGGGAACGGGGAUACGGCCAGGAUUCCUAGGGGGGGAAGCGGUGGGAAAUAUGGCAAAAGGGGGGGAGGCCUGAUGCAGAAACGCCGGGGGGGGAAUAACGGCCUUGGGGUUGAAAACCGCUUUGGCCUUGAACGAGGCGUGGGGGAGGGAAAUGGGUAAGGAAGCACCGGCUAAUUAGGG